Molecule: non-coding RNA, 65 nt
Filed under: unclassified sequences
Source: RNAcentral
CGGUAAUAGAGUUGCAGGGUGGUGUCUCCUGAGCCUGUCUUGCGACAGGUUCUUCUUCGCCACCG